UGGACUCUUCUUAGCAUUAAC
This 21-nucleotide non-coding RNA is filed under the name Caenorhabditis elegans. Lineage: Eukaryota; Metazoa; Nematoda; Chromadorea; Rhabditida; Rhabditidae. The record is from RNAcentral.